This 713-nucleotide ribosomal RNA is filed under the name uncultured Bacteroidales bacterium. RNAcentral's name for it is "bacterial SSU rRNA". It matches the Rfam family "Bacterial small subunit ribosomal RNA", at positions 46 to 746 of the family's 1533-position model. Lineage: Bacteria; Pseudomonadati; Bacteroidota; Bacteroidia; Bacteroidales. The record is from RNAcentral.
GCCUAACACAUGCAAGUCGAGGGGCAGCGAAGAGGUAGCAAUACCUUUGUCGGCGACCGGCGCACGGGUGAGUAACACGUAUGCAAUCCACCUGUAACAGGGGGAUAACCCGGAGAAAUCCGGACUAAUACCCCAUAAUAUGGGCUCUCCGCAUGGAGGGUUCAUUAAAGAGAGCAAUUUUGGUUACAGACGAGCAUGCGCUCCAUUAGCCAGUUGGCGGGGUAACGGCCCACCAAAGCGACGAUGGAUAGGGGUUCUGAGAGGAAGGUCCCCCACAUUGGAACUGAGACACGGUCCAAACUCCUACGGGAGGCAGCAGUGAGGAAUAUUGGUCAAUGGUCGGCAGACUGAACCAGCCAAGUCGCGUGAGGGAAGACGGCCCUACGGGUUGUAAACCUCUUUUGUCGGAGAGUAAAGUACGCUACGUGUAGUGUAUUGCAAGUAUCCGAAGAAAAAGCAUCGGCUAACUCCGUGCCAGCAGCCGCGGUAAUACGGAGGAUGCGAGCGUUAUCCGGAUUUAUUGGGUUUAAAGGGUGCGUAGGCGGCACGCCAAGUCAGCGGUGAAAUUUCCGGGCUCAACCCGGAGUGUGCCGUUGAAACUGGCGAGCUAGAGUACACAAGAGGCAGGCGGAAUGCGUGGUGUAGCGGUGAAAUGCAUAGAUAUCACGCAGAACCCCGAUUGCGAAGGCAGCCUGCUAGGGUGAAACAGACGC